GACGAACGCUGGCGGCGUGCUUAACACAUGCAAGUCGAGCGGUAAGGCCCUUUCGGGGGUACACGAGCGGCGAACGGGUGAGUAACACGUGGGUGACCUGCCCUCAGCUCUGGGAUAAGCCCGGGAAACUGGGUCUAAUACCGGAUAUGACUUCAUGACGCAUGUUGUGGAGUGGAAAGCCUUGUGCGGCUGAGGAUGGGCCCGCGGCCUAUCAGCUU
Molecule: ribosomal RNA, 218 nt
Filed under: uncultured bacterium
Lineage: Bacteria
Description: partial 16S ribosomal RNA
Rfam family: Bacterial small subunit ribosomal RNA
Source: RNAcentral